This 315-nucleotide ribosomal RNA is filed under the name uncultured Alphaproteobacteria bacterium. RNAcentral describes it as "bacterial SSU rRNA". It matches the Rfam family "Bacterial small subunit ribosomal RNA", at positions 503 to 817 of the family's 1533-position model. Lineage: Bacteria; Pseudomonadati; Pseudomonadota; Alphaproteobacteria. The record is from RNAcentral.
UCGUGCCAGCAGCCGCGGUAAUACGAAGGGGGCUAGCGUUGCUCGGAAUUACUGGGCGUAAAGGGAGCGUAGGCGGACAUUUAAGUCAGGGGUGAAAUCCCGGGGCUCAACCUCGGAAUUGCCUUUGAUACUGGGUGUCUUGAGUGUGAGAGAGGUAUGUGGAACUCCGAGUGUAGAGGUGAAAUUCGUAGAUAUUCGGAAGAACACCAGUGGCGAAGGCGACAUACUGGCUCAUUACUGACGCUGAGGCUCGAAAGCGUGGGGAGCAAACAGGAUUAGAUACCCUGGUAGUCCACGCUGUAAACGAUGAGUGCU